RNAcentral lists this transfer RNA (89 nucleotides) under Echria macrotheca. RNAcentral describes it as "tRNA-Tyr". Lineage: Eukaryota; Fungi; Ascomycota; Sordariomycetes; Sordariales; Schizotheciaceae. The record is from RNAcentral.
CUCCUUGUGGUGUAGUUGGCUAUCACGUUCGGCUGUAAUUGGAAUAAUUGUUUACCGAAAGGUCACCGGCUCGAUUCCGGUCGAGGAGA